Molecule: long non-coding RNA, 1133 nt
Filed under: Elaeis guineensis (African oil palm)
Lineage: Eukaryota; Viridiplantae; Streptophyta; Magnoliopsida; Arecales; Arecaceae
Description: long non-coding RNA (EGUI_LNC038186)
Source: RNAcentral
AUUAUUUUAUACGAAUUGGUAGCCUCUACCUUCAAUUGAAGGAAUUACCUUAAUUCUUUAGUGGGUACUAGAAUCUACACAGACUACAUACAGGUCCGAGUAUGGCUCGACCAACCCAUAUGCAUCUAUAGGUAUGUUCUCAAUCAAUUAUUUCUCUAAAUAAUUUUUAGUAAUUAGUUUUGCCUCAGGUUUCAUUUCAGUGUGCAAUGGGCCUCCACUGAAAGUCCUGGUUAAGUCCAACCAUUAACAUGAAUCUACUCAAUGAUCCUAACUAAUGAAUAAGCAGGCCUAAGUAUGGCUCGAUCAACCCAAUCAUUCAUCAGAUAGUACAAUAAACUCAACAUAUGAUGAAUAAUAAUUUUAUUAUUCAGAGAAACAUCAGACAGAUGGCACCUACAAUGUCAAUCAGAAAUAAUAGACCCAUUAUCAUUCACCUUAAUGGGAGGCUAUGAUCUAGUUAUCACUAUAACUAGCUCAUUUUAUGAAUCUAAUAAUUUAAAAUUUUGAUUAACAUAAUUUAUCAGAAUUAAAUACAUAAACCAACUAAUCUCAAUCCUCCUACUGACUUCACCAACUCAGAUCAGGAUGGACUAGAAAUAAGCCAGUCCAACUGAUAAGUCAUCAAUUCUCCCACUAACUUUACCAAGUCUUAUCGAGGAUAAAGAUAAGUUGAACUAGGGGCACCUAAAUCAGUCGAACUGAUUUUCUAGUAAGCAUGGGUCAACCCUAAUCAUUAAGCAAUCUGAUCAAAACUUGAUUCACCAUGUUGGCCAGAUAAGUGAGAUCGAUAGAAGAGAUAUGCCAUUAAAUCAUUAUAGACUCAAUCUAUGCGAGUAGCUCCCAAUUAAUGACCACCGAUCAAGAUUGUCAAACUUAUCUUAGACACCAACUGGUUAAUCAAUUUCAAUUGGAUCCACUUAUGGAUUUGGAUUCGACUGCUGAGCUCAAGAUCAAAGUCCAUUUGGGUCUAAUCAAAGAUAUAGACUCGAUCAACUAUAACUAUUGUAUUGGCUCUAGAGAAAUUUUGAUUUAAUCUAAUUUCUCUUUUUAGUCCAUUUGAUCUUUGAUUCUAUACCUAGGUCUAACCCAAUUAGGAGGACCUGAUCAAGCUAACCUAUAAACCCAUCACCCAC